Molecule: ribosomal RNA, 479 nt
Filed under: uncultured anaerobic ammonium-oxidizing bacterium
Lineage: Bacteria
Description: bacterial SSU rRNA
Rfam family: Bacterial small subunit ribosomal RNA
Source: RNAcentral
UUUCGCAAUGCCCGAAAGGGUGACGAAGCGACGCCGCGUGAGUGAGGAAGGCCUUCGGGUUGUAAAGCUCUGUCAGGAGUUAAGAAAUAUAAGUGUGUUAAUACCACAUUUAUUUGACGAAGGCUCCAAAGGAAGCCACGGCUAACUCUGUGCCAGCAGCCGCGGUAAUACAGAGGUGGCAAGCGUUGUUCGGAAUUAUUGGGCGUAAAGAGCACGUAGGUGGGUUUGUAAGUCAGAUGUGAAAGCCUUCUGUUCAACGGAGGAAUUGCAUCUGGAACUGCGAGUCUUGAGUGUAGGAGGGGAGAAUGGAACUUCUGGUGGAGCGGUGAAAUGCGUAGAUAUCAGAAGGAACGCCGGCGGCGAAAGCGAUUCUCUGGCCUAUUACUGACACUCAGUGUGCGAAAGCUAGGGGAGCAAACGGGAUUAGAUACUCCGGUAGUCCUAGCUGUAAACGAUGGGCACUAAGUAGAGGGGUUUUA